AGAGGCGAACGGGUUAGUAACACGUAGAUACAAACCCUAGAAACAGGCAUAACUCGGAGAAAUCCGAGCUAAUACCUGAUAGUCCCGCAAGGGUAAAGGUGAAGAGCAAUCUUUUCCGUUCUAGGAUUGGUCUGCGGCCUAUCAGCUAGUUGGUGGGGUAAUGGCUCACCAAGGCUAUGACGGGUAGGGGAUGUGAGAGCAUGUUCCCCAACAAGGGCACUGCGACACGGGCCCUACUCCUAAGGGAGGCAGCAGUCGAGAAUAUUGGUCAAUGGGCGCAAGCCUGAACCAGUGACGCCGCGUGCUUGAAGAAACCCUUCGGGGCGUAAAGAGCUUUUCUCCGUGAAGAACUUUCGGGUGACAUUAACGGAGGAAUAAGGGGGUGCUGACUCUGUGCCAGCAGCAGCGGUAAUACAGAGCCCCCGAGCGUUAUCCGGAUUUAUUGGGCGUAAAGGGUCCGUAGGCGGCUAGGAAAGUCUCUGGUUAAAUACCCAGGGCUCAACCUUGGGGAUGCUAGAGAUACUAUCUAGCUAUAGAGGGCGUUAGAGGCUGAUGGAACGGUCGGUGUAGGGGUAAAAUCCGUUGAUAUCGACCGGAACACCGAAAGCGAAGGCAUUCAGCUGGGGCGACCCUGACGCUGAGGGACGAAAGCGUGGGGAUCAAAAAGGAUUAGAUACCCUUGUAGUCCACGCUGUAAACGAUGGACACUAGCUAUCUGAAGUGUCGACCCUUCGGGUGGCGAAGCUNACGCGUUAAGUGUCCCGCCUGGGAAUUACGGNCGCAAGGCUAAAACUCAAG
This 798-nucleotide ribosomal RNA is filed under the name uncultured bacterium. RNAcentral describes it as "bacterial SSU rRNA". It matches the Rfam family "Bacterial small subunit ribosomal RNA", at positions 94 to 905 of the family's 1533-position model. The record is from RNAcentral.